UUUAAUCAAAUGAUUUUUUAUAGUUGAAUUAUUGUUAAUGGUCGAGCUAUAGGUCAACAUUUCAAAUAUGUAAAGUAGUUAAAAAAACGAGUUUGAGAGACAAAUAUAUGUUUGUCAAAGAAUUGGGUAAGAGCCUGGGCUAUUAUAGUUUUCUUUUAUGACUUGAUAAAUAUGGCCCCUAAAUAAUUGUUUUUAUGGAGGUGUGUCUUCUUUGCCUCAUGUUUCUUCUCCUAAGAUAAUGGGUGUUAACCUAUCUUGUUGCGAGACUCCAACCUCGUCUCUAAAGGUGGUGGAGUGAUGAGAUGACACACCUCUGUUUCUCCUAUAUUGGAGUCGUCCUUAUAAGAUUAAUAAGAUUAAGUGUAUAGGGGAAAAUCUUUUAAAUCUUGUAGAGAGGGUCGAUUGCGUAGCUUGUAGCUUGUAGCUUGAGCGAGAGAAAAAAAAAAAUCUCUCAUUUUGAAGGAUAUUAGUGUUAUGUUGGGUGAUUAAGCAAUAUUUGUGGUGGUAGUGCAUGGAUUUUGAAUGUAUCGAGAUCAUAUAAUUAUGUUUUUAGAGAUUUAAGCGAUGGUUGGUUGCACAAACAUUGGAUAAAAUAUGGCUUGAUGUUUUGUAACUUGUUGGAAGGAGUGCAAUAUGUACGUAUUACUUAAUCUUGUAAGUGGUAAGGUGAUAAGUUCUAUGUUUGACUUUGUAGAGUUUGAAUACUAUUACAAAUACUACUAUAAGGAUAUUUUACAUGAAAUCUAAUGUGAAAGGCAUAUAUUCCGAUAA
Molecule: long non-coding RNA, 771 nt
Organism: Vigna radiata var. radiata (mung bean)
Lineage: Eukaryota; Viridiplantae; Streptophyta; Magnoliopsida; Fabales; Fabaceae
Exons: 2
Source: RefSeq, a predicted model, not a curated record